This 253-nucleotide ribosomal RNA is filed under the name uncultured bacterium. RNAcentral's name for it is "partial 16S ribosomal RNA". It matches the Rfam family "Bacterial small subunit ribosomal RNA", at positions 524 to 776 of the family's 1533-position model. The record is from RNAcentral.
UACGGAGGUCUCAAGCGUUGUUCGGAUUCAUUGGGCGUAAAGGGCGCGUAGGCGGCGGGGUAAGUCGGGUGUGAAAUCUCAGAGCUCAACUCUGAAAUGGCACUUGAUACUGCUCUGCUAGAGGACUGGAGAGGAGAUUGGAAUUCACGGUGUAGCAGUGAAAUGCGUAGAUAUCGUGAGGAAGACCGGUGGCGAAGGCGGAUCUCUGGACAGUUCCUGACGCUGAGGCGCGAAGGCUAGGGGAGCAAACGGG